Molecule: ribosomal RNA, 405 nt
Filed under: uncultured bacterium
Lineage: Bacteria
Description: partial 16S ribosomal RNA
Rfam family: Bacterial small subunit ribosomal RNA
Source: RNAcentral
GAUGAACGCUGGCGGCGUGCCUAAUACAUGCAAGUCGAGCGAACCGGGGACGGGUGAUUAACACGUGGCUAACCUCCUAUAAGACUAGGAUAACUUCGGGACCCCUGAGCUCAACCCGAUCCUUAUAGAUGGAUCCGCGCUGCUUUAGCGAGUUUGUAAGGUAACGGCUUACCAAGGCAACGCUGCAUAGCCGACCUGAGAGGGUGAUCGGCCACAAUGGAACUGAGACACGGUCCAGAAUCCUCCGGGAGGCAGCAGUAGGGAAUCUUCCGCAAUGGGCGAAAGCCUGAUGGAGCAACGCCGCGUGAGUGAUGAAGGUCUUCGGAUCGUAAAACUCUGUUAUUAGGGAAGCGGUACCUAAGCAGAAAGCCACGGCUAACUCCGUGCCAGCAGCCGCGGUAAUAC